RNAcentral lists this small nuclear RNA (117 nucleotides) under Mustela putorius furo (domestic ferret). Its description in RNAcentral is "U4 spliceosomal RNA". It matches the Rfam family "U4 spliceosomal RNA". Rfam says of the family: U4 small nuclear RNA (U4 snRNA) is a component of the major U2-dependent spliceosome. The structure of U4 snRNA from yeast and human has been reported. Lineage: Eukaryota; Metazoa; Chordata; Mammalia; Carnivora; Mustelidae. The record is from Rfam by way of RNAcentral.
UGCUUUGCGCAGUGGCAGUAUCGUAGCCAAUGAGGUUUAUCCGAGGCGCGAUUAUUGCUACUUUUCAUUUUAUAACCUCCUAUAAUGUUCAAAUUUUAUUUCUGCACUACCUCUAUA